UGGGGAAUUUUGGACAAUGGGCGAAAGCCUGAUCCAGCAAUGCCGCGUGUGUGAAGAAGGCCUUCGGGUUGUAAAGCACUUUUGUCCGGAAAGAAAUCCUUGGCUCUAAUACAGUCGGGGGAUGACGGUACCGGAAGAAUAAGCACCGGCUAACUACGUGCCAGCAGCCGCGGUAAUACGUAGGGUGCAAGCGUUAAUCGGAAUUACUGGGCGUAAAGCGUGCGCAGGCGGUUUGCUAAGACCGAUGUGAAAUCCCCGGGCUCAACCUGGGAACUGCAUUGGUGACUGGCAGGCUAGAGUAUGGCAGAGGGGGGUAGAAUUCCACGUGUAGCAGUGAAAUGCGUAGAGAUGUGGAGGAAUACCGAUGGCGAAGGCAGCCCCCUGGGCCAAUACUGACGCUCAUGCACGAAAGCGUGGGGAGCAAACAGGAUUAGAUACCCUGGUAGUCCACGCCCUAAACGAUGUCAACUAGUUGUUGGGGACUUCAUUUCCUUAGUAACGUAGCUAACGCGUGAAGUUGACCGCCUGGGGAGUACGGUCGCAAGAUUAAAACUUAAAUGAAUUGACGGGGUCAUA
RNAcentral lists this ribosomal RNA (576 nucleotides) under uncultured bacterium. Its description in RNAcentral is "partial 16S ribosomal RNA". It matches the Rfam family "Bacterial small subunit ribosomal RNA", at positions 355 to 923 of the family's 1533-position model. The record is from RNAcentral.